This 255-nucleotide ribosomal RNA is filed under the name Escherichia coli. RNAcentral's name for it is "partial 16S ribosomal RNA". It matches the Rfam family "Bacterial small subunit ribosomal RNA", at positions 77 to 332 of the family's 1533-position model. RNAcentral also lists the same sequence under 1 other name. Lineage: Bacteria; Pseudomonadati; Pseudomonadota; Gammaproteobacteria; Enterobacterales; Enterobacteriaceae. The record is from RNAcentral.
AGCUUGCUGUUUCGCUGACGAGUGGCGGACGGGUGAGUAAUGUCUGGGAAACUGCCUGAUGGAGGGGGAUAACUACUGGAAACGGUAGCUAAUACCGCAUAACGUCGCAAGACCAAAGAGGGGGACCCUCGGGCCUCUUGCCAUCGGAUGUGCCCAGAUGGGAUUAGCUUGUUGGUGGGGUAACGGCUCACCAAGGCGACGAUCCCUAGCUGGUCUGAGAGGAUGACCAGCCACACUGGAACUGAGACACGGUCC